This 773-nucleotide ribosomal RNA is filed under the name uncultured bacterium. Its description in RNAcentral is "bacterial SSU rRNA". It matches the Rfam family "Bacterial small subunit ribosomal RNA", at positions 8 to 798 of the family's 1533-position model. The record is from RNAcentral.
AGAGUUUGAUCCUGGCUCAGGACGAACGCUGGCGGCGUGCUUAACACAUGCAAGUCGAACGGAAAGGCCCUUCGGGGUGCUCGAGUGGCGAACGGGUGAGUAACACGUGGGUGAUCUGCCCUGCACUCUGGGAUAAGCCUGGGAAACUGGGUCUAAUACCGGAUAGGACCGCAUGCUUCAUGGUGUGUGGUGCAAAGCUUUUGCGGUGUGGGAUGAGCCCGCGGCCUAUCAGCUUGUUGGUGGGGUAAUGGCCUACCAAGGCGACGACGGGUAGCCGGCCUGAGAGGGUGACCGGCCACACUGGGACUGAGAUACGGCCCAGACUCCUACGGGAGGCAGCAGUGGGGAAUAUUGCACAAUGGGCGCAAGCCUGAUGCAGCGACGCCGCGUGAGGGAUGACGGCCUUCGGGUUGUAAACCUCUUUCAGUAGGGACGAAGCGAAAGUGACGGUACCUACAGAAGAAGGACCGGCCAACUACGUGCCAGCAGCCGCGGUAAUACGUAGGGUCCGAGCGUUGUCCGGAAUUACUGGGCGUAAAGAGCUCGUAGGUGGUUUGUCGCGUUGUUCGUGAAAACUCACAGCUUAACUGUGGGCGUGCGGGCGAUACGGGCAGACUAGAGUACUGCAGGGGAGACUGGAAUUCCUGGUGUAGCGGUGGAAUGCGCAGAUAUCAGGAGGAACACCGGUGGCGAAGGCGGGUCUCUGGGCAGUAACUGACGCUGAGGAGCGAAAGCGUGGGUAGCGAACAGGAUUAGAUACCCCGGUAGUCCAA